RNAcentral lists this ribosomal RNA (716 nucleotides) under uncultured bacterium. RNAcentral's name for it is "bacterial SSU rRNA". It matches the Rfam family "Bacterial small subunit ribosomal RNA", at positions 9 to 700 of the family's 1533-position model. The record is from RNAcentral.
GAGUUUGAUCCUGGCUCAGAACGAACGUUGGCGGCGUGGAUUAGGCAUGCAAGUCGAACGAGAAAGUUUCCUUCGGGAAGCGAGUACAGUGGCGAACGGGAGAGUAACGCGUGGGAAACCUGCCCUUCAGCGGGGGACAACACUUCUAACGAGGUGCUAAUACCGCAUACGAUUCGGAUACCGCAUGGUGCCCGAAUGAAAGAUGGCCUCUACAUGUAAGCUGUCACUGAAGGAUGGUCCCGCGUCCCAUUAGCUUGUUGGUGGGGUAAUGGCCUACCAAGGCGACGAUGGGUAGCCGGCCUGAGAGGGUGUCCGGCCUCACUGGGACUGAGAUACGGCCCAGACUCCUACGGGAGGCAGCAGUCGAGAAGCUUCGGCAAUGGGCGAAAGCCUGACCGAGCGACGCCGCGUGAGCGAUGAAGGCCCUAGGGUCGUAAAGCUCUGUCAGGAGGGAAUAAAUUCCUGCGGUUAAUACCCGUAGGCGCUGAAGGUACCUCCAGAGGAAGCGCCGGCUAACUACGUGCCAGCAGCCGCGGUAAUACGUAGGGCGCAAACGUUGUUCGGAUUAACUGGGUAUAAAGGGUUCGUAGGCUGGCUAUUAAGUCAGAGGUGAAAGCCACCGGCUCAACCGGUGAAUUGCCUCUGAUACUGAUAGUCUUGAGUCCGUUAGGGGGUGGUGGAAUUCCUGGUGUAGCGGUGAAAUGCGUAAAUAUCAG